Molecule: ribosomal RNA, 460 nt
Filed under: uncultured bacterium
Lineage: Bacteria
Description: partial 16S ribosomal RNA
Rfam family: Bacterial small subunit ribosomal RNA
Source: RNAcentral
CCUACGGGGCGCUGCAGUGAGGAAUAUUGGUCAAUGGACGAGAGUCUGAACCAGCCAAGUAGCGUGAAGGAUGACUGCCCUAUGGGUUGUAAACUUCUUUUAUAAAGGAAUAAAACGAGGCACGUGUGCCUUUUUGCAUGUACUUUAUGAAUCAUGAUCUGCUAACUCCUUGCCAGCAGCCGCGGUAAUACGGAGGAUCCGAGCGUUAUACGGAUUUAUUGGGUUUAAAGGGAGCGUAGAUGGGUUGUUAAGUCAGUUGUGAAAGUUUUCGGCUCAACCGUAAAAUUGCAAUUGAUACUGGCAGUCGUGAGUACAGUUGAGGUAGGCGGAAUUCGUGGUGUAGCGGUGAAAUGCUUAGAUAUCACGAAGAACCCCGAGUGCGAAGGCAGCUUACUAAACUGUGACUGACAUUGAUGCUCGAAAGUGUGGGUAUCAAACAGGAUUAGAUACCCCUGUAGUC